UGGGGAAUAUUGGACAAUGGGCGAAAGCCUGAUCCAGCCAUGCCGCGUGUGUGAAGAAGGUCUUCGGAUUGUAACGCACUUUAAGUUGGGAGGAAGGGCAGUAAGCGAAUACCUUGCUGUUUUGACGUUACCGACAGAAUAAGCACCGGCUAACUCUGUGCCAGCAGCCGCGGUAAUACAGAGGGUGCAAGCGUUAAUCGGAAUUACUGGGCGUAAAGCGCGCGUAGGUGGUUCGUUAAGUUGAAUGUGAAAGCCCCGGGCUCAACCUGGGAACUGCAUCCAAAACUGGCGAGCUAGAGUAGGGCAGAGGGUGGUGGAAUUUCCUGUGUAGCGGUGAAAUGCGUAGAUAUAGGAAGGAACACCAGUGGCGAAGGCGACCAGCUGGGCUCAUACUGACCCUGAGGUGCGAAAGCGUGGGGAGCAAACAGG
Molecule: ribosomal RNA, 429 nt
Filed under: Pseudomonadota bacterium
Lineage: Bacteria; Pseudomonadati; Pseudomonadota
Description: Proteobacteria bacterium partial 16S ribosomal RNA
Rfam family: Bacterial small subunit ribosomal RNA
Source: RNAcentral